Molecule: ribosomal RNA, 292 nt
Filed under: uncultured bacterium
Lineage: Bacteria
Description: partial 16S ribosomal RNA
Rfam family: Bacterial small subunit ribosomal RNA
Source: RNAcentral
UCUAUCCUACGGGGGGCAGCAGUGGGGAAUAUUGCACAAUGGGGGGAACCCUGAUGCAGCGACGCCGCGUGAGUGAAGAAGUAUUUCGGUAUGUAAAGCUCUAUCAGCAGGGAAGAAAAUGACGGUACCUGACUAAGAAGCCCCGGCUAACUACGUGCCAGCAGCCGCGGUAAUACGUAGGGGGCAAGCGUUAUCCGGAUUUACUGGGUGUAAAGGGAGCGUAGACGGUUAUGCAAGUCUGAAGUGAAAGUCCAAGGCUCAACCAUGGGACUGCUUUGGAAACUGUAAAACU